Molecule: ribosomal RNA, 253 nt
Filed under: uncultured bacterium
Lineage: Bacteria
Description: partial 16S ribosomal RNA
Rfam family: Bacterial small subunit ribosomal RNA
Source: RNAcentral
UACGUAGGGUGCGAGCGUUGUCCGGAAUUACUGGGCGUAAAGAGCUUGUAGGUGGUUUGUCGCGUUGUUCGUGAAAUCUCACGGCUCAACUGUGAGCGUGCGGGCGAUACGGGCAGACUAGAGUACUGCAGGGGAGACUGGAAUUCCUGGUGUAGCGGUAGAAUGCGCAGAUAUCAGGAGGAACACCGGUGGCGAAGGCGGGUCUCUGGGCAGUAACUGACGCUGAGAAGCGAAAGCGUGGGGAGCGAACAGG